UGGGGAAUAUUGGACAAUGGGCGCAAGCCUGAUCCAGCAAUGCCGCGUGUGUGAAGAAGGCCUUCGGGUUGUAAAGCACUUUUAUCAGGAGCGAAACGCUGUCGGCUAAUACCCGGCGGAACUGACGGUACCUGAGGAAUAAGCACCGGCUAACUUCGUGCCAGCAGCCGCGGUAAUACGAAGGGUGCAAGCGUUAAUCGGAAUUACUGGGCGUAAAGCGUGCGUAGGCGGUUUCUUAAGUCUGCUGUGAAAUCCCCGGGCUCAACCUGGGAAUGGCAGUGGAUACUGGGAGGCUAGAGUGUGUCAGAGGGUGGUGGAAUUCCCGGUGUAGCGGUGAAAUGCGUAGAGAUCGGGAGGAACAUCAGUGGCGAAGGCGGCCACCUGGGACAACACUGACGCUGAGGCACGAAAGCGUGGGGAGCAAACAGGAUUAGAUACCCUGGUAGUCCACGCCCUAAACGAUGCGAACUGGAUGUUGGUCUCAACUCGGAGAUCAGUGUCGAAGCUAACGCGUUAAGUGCCCCGCCUGGGGAGUACGGCCGCAAGGCUAAACUUAAAUGAAUUGACGGGGUCAUAGCU
Molecule: ribosomal RNA, 579 nt
Filed under: uncultured bacterium
Lineage: Bacteria
Description: partial 16S ribosomal RNA
Rfam family: Bacterial small subunit ribosomal RNA
Source: RNAcentral